This is a long non-coding RNA of Bos taurus (domestic cattle), 2399 nucleotides long. Lineage: Eukaryota; Metazoa; Chordata; Mammalia; Artiodactyla; Bovidae. The record is from Ensembl.
GUCCAGGCCCCGCCCAGACUCCCUGCUCAGACCACGGCUCCACUGGCAGGGCCUGCGUUCAAGUGUGAAUGGCUCCGCCGAAAGUCUCUGCUUCCUCCCACCAUGAUCCAGGAUUACUCACACUGGCCUCCAGAUAAAUGUAGUUCAAAAAGUUUAAGGUGCCGCAUCGAUGCAUAUUUACAAAAACCAUGAGAUCACACUUCAGAACGGAUUUCCAAGAGAAAGCAAGCAAGCCAUACACAGCAGCCAUCUUCUCCUUCCUUUAGAUUUCCCAAUGACACAGGGAGUCAACUUACAAAGACCCACAACAAACCCAGGAAAGAGGGUACAACCAUUAGGUACAGCUAGAACCCCUGAAAACGUCUAUUUAGAGCAAAAGACCUGGGUUCAAGCCCUGGCCUUUGCUAGCUGUGUUUCAUCAGGUGAGUCACUUGACCUCUCUGAGGCUCUUUUUCUGUAGAAAGGUGCAAGGGGAGGCGGGGCUUGUCACACAAAGUAUCGGGCUUGGUUCUGUUUGCCUGACUUGGAAGGUGCCAGCUUCCCACCUCACCCUCUUCAGGGCUCCCUCCUGAAGCUGUGUUCCAGCUACGAUAGUAACCAUCCCAGGCCGAGCAGGACCACAGUAUAACCCAGCGCUUGUAGAGAGGACUGAAUGAGUGUGACUGUGGACACUGUGUAGAGCUGAGAAUGCCGGGAGAGAGGCCCACAGACCCUGCAGCCAGAGAGCAGCCUGAAAUGUGAGACCUGGCAAGCCCUUGGCCAGGUUCUCAGAGCCUGAGAAGCAACCUCAGUGAAAUCCAGAAGGCACUAUAUCAAGAAGCCGGCAGUUUGGGAACAAUCCUGCUAAGUCAUAAAUGCUUCAAAUUCUUCGGCUUUUGCCUUCAGAAUUUCUGGCAGCCUUGGGCAGGGGGCAAGUGUUCGCGGACAGACACUGACUCGCCUCGUCUCUGUUAGGGAAGGCCAAGACAGACUGAGACGGAGAAGCCAGCAGACCAACUCUCCUCUAGAAAAGUCUGCGGGUGGGAAGUGCUUUGCUGUGGAUACUCUGGUGCCCACCCAGAACCCCAUUAAAACCCAGGCUCCCAUGCCCCCACAUCCUCUCCCUUCCCCCUACAGCUGCCUCCCAGGCCGCCAUCAACCUCAGCCAAGGAGGCGGGUGGUCCAAGUCUACACGCCCUCCCCUGGGGACCCAAGCACUGGUCCACAGUGACACAGAGGCCAGUACCUUGUUUCUGUCCAUGCCGUCUCCACGUAACCAGCCCUUCAGAACUCCUGGCGAGAGUUGCAGCUGCCUCACUGUUGAGCUUUCCUCCCCACCCGCUCCUGCUCCCUCUCAGGUGUUGGCCCUGUGAUCCGCGCUCCCAGCAGGUGUAUCUUGUUCCCCACUCCCUGUCUGCCUGGCACUGGCAGUCCCCCAUCUUAGAGUGGGCUUCCCAGGAAGCUGAUCUGCAGAGCCUAGAAAGGGGAGGAAGAGUCAUGGGGUCUGGGUGCUGAGAGCACUGUGAAAUAAUCUCAUUCAGCCCCACCGCCCCACCGUGGAAACAGCCUGCCAGAGGCCACAGAGUGGACUGUUAGUACAGCUGGCCCCAGGCGCUCUGACCCCACUACGGGAUGAUAUGAAAAUUGCUUACAUGUCCGAUGUUGGGCUGCACCCCACAGGCCUGCAAGCCUUGUAGUUGUUCAGCCUCAAGACAACUAAACAGUCCAGAGACAGUGACAGAGGCCUCAGUGGUUUCACGGCUAGGGAGACCUUACACGUCUGAAGCAAGGCCAGAGCGACACCCCGCCAUGUGCGGUGGGGAGGACACAGCAGAGGUCUUCGCCACCCGGAGGAGAAGGCGGCUACCGCUUACAGGGGAACUGACAUCAGGUUGGCGCAUCAGCUACCAGGGAAACCAGCGGCAGGAGCACGCCCCUCACAACCCCUCAGGAGUGAUGGUAAUCUCCACUUCACAGAGUUUCCAUGAGGACACCAAAAGAGCGCAUGGAACGUGGGAAAGUACGCACCCGAGGCUGCGGCAAGAUCAAGCGGCAGAGCCCCGACUUCACUGCUCCCCCCGAGGCGCCUGUGCCCAGGGGAGAAAUGCCUCCCCCAUCAAAGGCAGAGGAGGGCUAGCUCUUCUCUGCCCCAGGGCAGGAGGGAGCUAGUGCUGAUUGGGAUGGAGAACAAAGACAUGCAGGCCCCUGAACUCUGAGCAACCAAGGUCACAGGUAAGAAAACUGAGCUUCAGCAAGCGUAUGUGACUCAGCCAGAACUGCAGGGCUGGCCAUGAUCAAGGUCAGGAUUUCUUCCUCCAAGUCCUGCACUCUUUCCGGUGCUCCACAUUGCCUCUUAUUUCCCUAAGGGACUCUAUCCAAUAGCUUUUCAGAGUUCCUGUCUGAAGAGCACAGGAGCAGAG